GUACAACGACAGGCAAGCCUGAAACAAAAAGUUCAGCUCCAAACCCAAGCCCUGGCAGCUGCCCUGCAACCGGCAUUCCCUAAGAGCCGCGGCAGGAGAGGUAGAGGUACAAUCUCCCGGGCCCCGUCUGGCGUCUGCUUCAAGUGAGGCAACUCAGGACACUGGGCCAGCCGGUGCCCUAGCCAACAGCAACCGUCCUGCCCGCCUUGCAACUGUUUCAAGUGUGGCAAUCCAGGUCAUUGGGCAAAACAGUGCCCAAACCCCAAGCCGCCAACACACCCGUGCCCUAACUGCCAACAAAUGGAGCACUGGAGGUCAGACUGCCCCAGCCUCGGAGCGGCCGCUGUGGCUCCACAUGGCGACCCCUCCCUGGAUGGCGAAGGUGCCCUCUAGCUCCUCCAACUGGAUGACGACUGAAGAGGCCCAGGCUCGGGAACCCCUCUCACCCUUGCCGAGCCCAGGGUAAUGCUUCAGGUAGCGGAUCAACUGAGAUGCAAAACCCAUGUUCACAUCAUGAGUGAGUCUUCUAACUCGGACAAUGCAAUCAACAAAUUCUAAGACCAAAUUCCGGUGGCACUGGCUCCAAAGGACUCAUGGUCUAUCAAAGAGCAAGACCUCACCAGCUCAACACAGCCACCUCCAUACACAUCUUACUGUCACUUGUGAUCAGCACCAAAGGAAGUGUCCACCUGAAGGACUCUCCCUUGAGGACUGUCAGGAUCCACCCAAGAGGUGCUCUUUGUCCACACCACGUUCCUUUUACUGCUCCUGAGUGUGGAAGGAGGUGAACAGGGAAAAGCAGAGAGGACAAAAGUCACAUCCCCUCCCCACAGACCCAUACUGGGGAAGGGUGGAAGAUUUAGCUGCGAGUCAAGUUCAGAAUUUUGAUUAACAUCUUGGCAUGCACAUUCGAAUUUCAGAAUCAAGACUGUUGGCCAUAAAAAAUGACUAUAGCCUUGUGUAUUACCUGAACUGAGCAGUAAAAAAAAAGUCAUGGUCCUUCUGGGGCUUUUAUUCUGAGACAGGAACCCUGAACAGGCAGGAGAAAGGGAAUGUUGACAGAGAAACAAAGACAGUUGGCGACACACGCUGACCGCCAUGCGGACGUCCAUCAAACCCAGCACUGGCCCUGGGUACGUGCGCCUUUGCUAUUACCCCAAUACAUUUUCUUCUGCAGAGCAAGCAACAGAACACAUGCAGACCUUAAUAAAUACCACUGGGUAAUGUGACAAUGGCCAAACUCUCCUCACGGGGGAGAGAGUGUCCCCCAGUUUUGCUCCCUUUUAAUUUCCAGGGUUCAUAAGUAGCUCUAAAGCUUUGCUCUACAAGGUUGAUACAUACGAUAUUAAUGUUUCCCCUAAGCAGUAUAACAUAAAUAUAUUUGCUAUCUU
Molecule: long non-coding RNA, 1391 nt
Organism: Homo sapiens (human)
Lineage: Eukaryota; Metazoa; Chordata; Mammalia; Primates; Hominidae
Product: long intergenic non-protein coding RNA 1287
Source: Ensembl